GAUGAAGAACGCAGCGAAAUGCGAUAAGUUAUGUGAAUUGCAGAAUUCAGUGAAUCAUCGAAUCUUUGAACGCACAUUGCGCCCGCGAGUAUUCUCGCGGGCAUGCCUGUCCGAGCGUCAUUUCAACCCUCAGGGCCCGCCUGCUUGCAGGCGCGGCGCUGGUGUUGGGGAUCGGCUACCCUGCCGUCCCCCAAAUACAGUGGCGGUCUCGCUGCAGCCUCCCCUGCGUAGUAGCAACACUCGCAUGCGGAGCGCGGCGCGGCCACGCCGUAAAACCCCCGACUUUCUGAACGUUGACCUCGGAUCAGGUAGGAAUACCCGCUGAACUUAAGCAUAUCAAUAAGCGGAGGA
This 351-nucleotide unclassified non-coding RNA is filed under the name soil metagenome. RNAcentral's name for it is "partial contains 5.8S ribosomal RNA, internal transcribed spacer 2, and large subunit ribosomal RNA". The stretch from base 1 to 120 matches the Rfam family "5.8S ribosomal RNA", at positions 35 to 154 of the family's 154-position model. The record is from RNAcentral.